GUAGGUGAACCUGCGGAAGGAUCAUUACCUGGCCUUGGGCCGCUCGCGGGAGCUCGUCGCUUGCGACGGUGCUCUCGGGGGUGCUUAGCCCUUGAUCAUUACCUUGAUUAUACGCACCUUCGUUGUUCCCUCGGCAGUUCGCUGCCGCUAGGGACCCGUAAACCCUUUUGUAUAAGCAUUAAACGUCUGAAAACAAAUUUUAGUUAUUUACAACUUUUAACAAUGGAUCUCUUGGUUCUG
This 240-nucleotide unclassified non-coding RNA is filed under the name rhizosphere metagenome. RNAcentral describes it as "partial ribosomal RNA internal transcribed spacer region". The record is from RNAcentral.